RNAcentral lists this non-coding RNA (32 nucleotides) under Mus musculus (house mouse). Lineage: Eukaryota; Metazoa; Chordata; Mammalia; Rodentia; Muridae. The record is from RNAcentral.
UGAUACCUUUGCCCUCCAAUGGAAACACAUCA